Non-coding RNA from Stylosanthes scabra, 93 nucleotides. The record is from the annotation of a GenBank genome assembly. NCBI's taxonomy places the organism in Eukaryota, Viridiplantae, Streptophyta, Magnoliopsida, Fabales, Fabaceae.
CCGACCUUAGCUCAGUUGGUAGAGCGGAGGACUGUAGUGGUUUAAAUCCAACAGGUGAUCCUUAGGUCGCUGGUUCGAAUCCGGCAGGUCGGA